Molecule: ribosomal RNA, 508 nt
Filed under: Sphaerosoma sp. 1 FWS-2010
Lineage: Eukaryota; Metazoa; Arthropoda; Insecta; Coleoptera; Alexiidae
Description: partial 16S ribosomal RNA
Rfam family: Bacterial large subunit ribosomal RNA
Source: RNAcentral
GUCCUUUUGAUUAUAAUUUAAGGUCUAACCUGCCCACUGAAUGUUUAAAUGGCCGCAGUAUUUUGACUGUGCAAAGGUAGCAUAAUAAUUAGUUUUUUAAAUGAAAGCUGGAAUGAAUGGUUGGAUAAGAAAAUAACUGUCUCAAUUUAAUUUAAUUAGAAUUUUAUUUUUAAGUUAAAAAGCUUAAAUUUCAUUAAAAGACGAGAAGACCCUAUAGAGUUUAAUAUUUUAAUAUUAUUAUUUUAUUAGUAUAGAAAAUUUUAUAAUAUAAGAGUAUUUUGUUGGGGUGACAGGAAAAUUAAAUAAACUUUUCUUUUUAUUUUACAUUUAUAUAUGAAUAAAUGAUCCAUAAUAAUGAUUAUAAGAAAAAAUUACCUUAGGGAUAACAGCGUAAUUUUUUUUAAGAGUUCUAAUCGAAAAAAAAGAUUGCGACCUCGAUGUUGGAUUAAAGUAUAUUAUUGGUGUAGAAGCUAAAUAAUUAGGUCUGUUCGACCUUUAAAACUUUACA